UGGGGAAUAUUGCACAAUGGGCGCAAGCCUGAUGCAGCCAUGCCGCGUGUGUGAAGAAGGCCUUCGGGUUGUAAAGCACUUUCAGCGGGGAGGAAGGCGGUGAGGUUAAUAACCUCAUCGAUUGACGUUACCCGCAGAAGAAGCACCGGCUAACUCCGUGCCAGCAGCCGCGGUAAUACGGAGGGUGCAAGCGUUAAUCGGAAUUACUGGGCGUAAAGCGCACGCAGGCGGUCUGUCAAGUCGGAUGUGAAAUCCCCGGGUUCAACCUGGGAACUGCAUUCGAAGCUGGCAGGCUAGAGUCGUGUAGAGGGGGGUAGAAUUCCAGGUGUAGCGGUGAAAUGCGUAGAGAUCUGGAGGAAUACCGGUGGCGAAGGCGGCCCCCUGGACAAAGACUGACGCUCAGGUGCGAAAGCGUGGGGAGCAAACAGG
This 429-nucleotide ribosomal RNA is filed under the name Chloroflexota bacterium. RNAcentral describes it as "Chloroflexi bacterium partial 16S ribosomal RNA". It matches the Rfam family "Bacterial small subunit ribosomal RNA", at positions 355 to 776 of the family's 1533-position model. The record is from RNAcentral. Lineage: Bacteria; Bacillati; Chloroflexota.